UUGCAUGAGGAAAUAUGUUUGCCCCUCAUUCCUUUGGGAGCAGGAAUGCAUCCAUAACACGCUACAUUAAAAAAAAAAAUAAGGAGUUCUCAGGGCUGUCAAACUUGCGGUAGAGAUUGAGUAGUAGUAUAUUUCUCCUACAUAA
Phyllostomus discolor (pale spear-nosed bat) is the source of this 145-nucleotide small nucleolar RNA. RefSeq annotates it as small nucleolar RNA U109. The transcript has a single exon. The record is from RefSeq and is a predicted model, not a curated record. Lineage: Eukaryota; Metazoa; Chordata; Mammalia; Chiroptera; Phyllostomidae.